GACGAACGCUGGCGGCGUGCUUAACACAUGCAAGUCGAGCGGUAAGGCCCUUUCGGGGGUACACGAGCGGCGAACGGGUGAGUAACACGUGGGUGGCCUGCCUUUAGCUCUGGGAUAAGCCUGGGAAACUGGGUCUAAUACCGGAUAUGACCCUAUGGCGCAUGUUGUGGGGGUGGAAAGCCUUGUGCGGCUAGGGAUGGGGCCCGCGGCCUAUCAGCUUGUUGGUGGGGUGAUGGCCUACCAAGGCGAUGGACGGGUACGG
This 262-nucleotide ribosomal RNA is filed under the name uncultured bacterium. Its description in RNAcentral is "partial 16S ribosomal RNA". It matches the Rfam family "Bacterial small subunit ribosomal RNA", at positions 28 to 288 of the family's 1533-position model. The record is from RNAcentral.